GACUACAGGGGUAUCUAAUCCUGUUUGAUCCCCACGCUUUCGUGCCUCAGCGUCAAUUCAAGCCCAGCAAGCUGCCUACGCAAUUGGUGUUCUAUGACAUAUCUAUGCAUUUCACCGCUACAUGUCACAUUCCGCCUACCUCAACUUGAUUCAAGUCUGACAGUAUCAAAGGCAAUUUAACAGUUAAGCUGCUAGCUUUCACCUCUGACUUAUCAAACCGCCUACGCACCCUUUAAACCCAGUGAUUCCGGAUAACGCUUGCACCCUCCGUAUUACCGCGGCUGCUGGCACGGAGUUAGCCGGUGCUUAUUCGUAAGGUACCGUCAACAGCACAUGAAUGUCCUGAUUUCUUCCCAAACAAAAGAAGUUUACAACCCAUAGGGCCUUAAUCCUUCACGCGGGAUGGCUGGGUCAGAGUUGCCUCCAUUGCCCAAUAUUCCUUACUGCUGCCCCCCGUAGG
RNAcentral lists this ribosomal RNA (460 nucleotides) under uncultured Haliscomenobacter sp. RNAcentral describes it as "partial 16S ribosomal RNA". Lineage: Bacteria; Pseudomonadati; Bacteroidota; Saprospiria; Saprospirales; Haliscomenobacteraceae. The record is from RNAcentral.